Molecule: ribosomal RNA, 699 nt
Filed under: Triticum aestivum (bread wheat)
Lineage: Eukaryota; Viridiplantae; Streptophyta; Magnoliopsida; Poales; Poaceae
Description: partial small subunit ribosomal RNA
Source: RNAcentral
AUGCCGGUGAGUUACACGGCUCUGAGAAACUCUGACUGGGAUUUCAUAGUUGAUAAAUAUCUCCUUAGAUUCGAUGCCUGGGUUGGUAAUGCUGCUUCUAUGGGAGGGAGACACACCCUUCUAGACUCGAUAGUUACUCAACUCUCUCUAUACCACAUGUCUAUGUGGCUGAUGAACAAAUCUUUUGUGGAAAAAUUGGAUAAAUACAGAAGGAGAUUCUUCUGGCAGGGGUGUAGUAAGAAACGGAGAUAUCACUUGAUCAGAUGGAACAGGAUCUGUAGAUCCAAAGAAAAAGGGGGGCUUGGUAUUAAAGACUUGCGCAAGAAAAACAUUAGUCUGAUGCUCAAGUGGUGGUGGAAGCUAGACACCCAGAAAGGAAUUUGGCAAGAUAUUGUUUGGGCUAGGUAUCUCCGCAACCAAACUGUUGCAACUGUUAGCCCUCGUUUCUCUGAUUCACCUUGUUGGAAAAACUUGUUGAAAAUCAAAAACAUGUACAUGAUAGGCAGGAAGCUUCACGUGGGGACAGGCAACCUAACCAGGUUGUGGAAAGACUCUAUUAAUGGGUUAACUCCUUUCCAAGAACAAUUCCCAGGCCUCUUUGAUAUUUGUGUUGAUCAAGAUUGUACCCUGGAUAGGCUUAGCUCCAUAACCUGUUCUAGCUUUUUCCGCAGAAGAUUGAACGCUGAUUUGACAGACCAG